Molecule: ribosomal RNA, 253 nt
Filed under: uncultured bacterium
Lineage: Bacteria
Description: partial 16S ribosomal RNA
Rfam family: Bacterial small subunit ribosomal RNA
Source: RNAcentral
UACGUAGGGUGCGAGCGUUAAUCGGAAUUACUGGGCGUAAAGUGUGCGCAGGCGGCCGCGCAAGUCGAGUGUGAAAGCCCCGGGCUUAACUUGGGAAUUGCGCUCGAAACUACGUGGCUGGAGUGUGGCAGAGGAAGGUGGAAUUCCUGGUGUAGCGGUGAAAUGCGCAGAUAUCAGGAGGAACACCGGCGGCGAAGGCGGCACUCUGGGCCGGUACUGACGCUGAGGAGCGAAAGCGUGGGUAGCAAACAGG